GGAGACACUGUCUCUAAAAAAAAAAAAAAAAAAUUAGCCUCAGCAUGGUGGUGUGGACCUGUAGUCCCAGCCACUCAGGAGACUGACAGGCAGGAGGAUCUGCUUGAGCCUAGGAGUUCCAGGCUGCAGUGAGCUAUGAUUGCACCACUGCAUUCCAGCCUGGACAACAGAGCAACACACUGUCUCAGAAAAAAAGAGAGAGAGAGAGAUAACACUGGUGGAUGAUAGGAAGAGCAAUUGACAGCACCAUCUCUGGGCUUCUCACAAGUUUAUACAACACAUCUGCUUCCUAUUACAAUUCAGAUACCUACAGCCGCUGAGAGCCGGUAUUCCAACGCCAUGAGACGCCUUCUGUUGUGAGCAGUUGACAAGAGAGACCCAGCACUUACUGCAACCGGAAGGAGCGGUUCCUCCCUCGCUCGCGCAGCCGCUCUUCCCCGCCACUCCCUCGGUGCCCGCCAGCACAUUCCCAGCAAGCCCUGAGUAUAUUUGCAUAUCAACUCACUACAUUUUUCUUCUAACUAAAAAAUCGAAAGGACAAAUUCUAGAUUCUCCUUGUGAAGUCUUCCUUUCAGUUCAGAAGAAAUGGAAUUCGCUCUUCAACUUCAGGAAGUUGAAAUAAAGAGUUGCUUGGAUUUUUGUGUUCACCUUUACCAAAAAAUGGAUUUGGUAACACUGCCACCCUGC
Molecule: long non-coding RNA, 687 nt
Filed under: Pan troglodytes (chimpanzee)
Lineage: Eukaryota; Metazoa; Chordata; Mammalia; Primates; Hominidae
Description: lincRNA
Source: RNAcentral